This 453-nucleotide ribosomal RNA is filed under the name uncultured Caulobacteraceae bacterium. Its description in RNAcentral is "bacterial SSU rRNA". It matches the Rfam family "Bacterial small subunit ribosomal RNA", at positions 29 to 527 of the family's 1533-position model. Lineage: Bacteria; Pseudomonadati; Pseudomonadota; Alphaproteobacteria; Caulobacterales; Caulobacteraceae. The record is from RNAcentral.
AGCGAACGCUGGCGGCAGGCCUAACACAUGCAAGUCGAACGGAUCCUUCGGGAUUAGUGGCGGACGGGUGAGUAACACGUGGGAACGUGCCCUUUGGUUCGGAACAACUCAGGGAAACUUGAGCUAAUACCGGAUGUGCCCUUCGGGGGAAAGAUUUAUCGCCAUUGGAGCGGCCCGCGUCUGAUUAGCUAGUUGGUGGGGUAAAGGCCCACCAAGGCGACGAUCAGUAGCUGGUCUGAGAGGAUGAUCAGCCACAUUGGGACUGAGACACGGCCCAAACUCCUACGGGAGGCAGCAGUGGGGAAUCUUGCGCAAUGGGCGAAAGCCUGACGCAGCCAUGCCGCGUGAAUGAUGAAGGUCUUAGGAUUGUAAAAUUCUUUCACCGGGGACGAUAAUGACGGUACCCGGAGAAGAAGCCCCGGCUAACUUCGUGCCAGCCGCCGCGGUAAUUCA